AUUAUCCUGAGAUAACUCAGAAACAGAAAGUCAAAUACUGCAUGUUCUCACUUAUAAGUGGAAGCUAAGUAAUGGGUGCACAUGGAUAUACAGAGUGAAAUAAUACACAUUGGAGACUACAAAAAGAAUAAUUAGCUGUUUGACACUCUUCCGGAUAUUGUUUUUGUCACUUAACAACAUAACUUGGUGAUCCUCCCAGAGCAGAAAAGCUCUCCCAGAUAUGUUUCAGGGCAGCGUAACCUUCCUUGUUCUUCCUUCACUGAGCAUGUUAUAUGUGGAAAGAACACAUCCUCACUUGGGGAAACCAGAUAAAUUGUUUAAAUUAUUGCAAAUGUGAAUGAUUUUAAUGUAGAAAUAACCUUUUUCAUUCCACAUUAAUCACAAAUACUGUUCACAACCCUUCGUAAUAAACUUGUCUCUGC
This 422-nucleotide long non-coding RNA is filed under the name Pan troglodytes (chimpanzee). Its description in RNAcentral is "long non-coding RNA NONPTRT012946". Lineage: Eukaryota; Metazoa; Chordata; Mammalia; Primates; Hominidae. The record is from RNAcentral.